RNAcentral lists this ribosomal RNA (433 nucleotides) under uncultured bacterium. RNAcentral describes it as "partial 16S ribosomal RNA". It matches the Rfam family "Bacterial small subunit ribosomal RNA", at positions 29 to 507 of the family's 1533-position model. The record is from RNAcentral.
AACGAACGCUGGCGGCAUGCCUAACACAUGCAAGUCGAACGAGACCUUCGGGUCUAGUGGCGCACGGGUGCGUAACGCGUGGGAACCUGCCCUUAGGUUCGGAAUAACUCUCCGAAAGGGGUGAUAAUACCGGAUAAUGUCUUCGGACCAAAGAUUUGUCGCCUUUGGAUGGGCACGCGUUGGAUUAGCUAGUUGGUAGGGUAAAAGCCUACCAAGGCGACGAUCCAUAGCUGGUCUGAGAGGAUGAUCAGCCACACUGGGACUGAGACACGGCCCAGACUCCUACGGGAGGCAGCAGUGGGGAAUAUUGGACAAUGGGCUAAAGCCUGAUCCAGCAAUGCCGCGUGAGUGAUGAAGGCCUUAGGGUUGUAAAGCUCUUUUACCCGGGAUGAUAAUGACAGUACCGGGAGAAUAAGCUCCGGCUAACUCCGUG